RNAcentral lists this ribosomal RNA (1880 nucleotides) under Carolinorhynchus follybeachensis. RNAcentral's name for it is "eukaryotic LSU rRNA". It matches the Rfam family "Eukaryotic large subunit ribosomal RNA", at positions 37 to 1488 of the family's 3401-position model. Lineage: Eukaryota; Metazoa; Platyhelminthes; Rhabdocoela; Schizorhynchidae. The record is from RNAcentral.
AGCAUAUCAAUAAGCGGAGGAAAAGAAACUAACAAGGAUUCCCUUAGUAGCGGCGAGCGAAGCGGGAAAAGCCCAGAACCGAAUCCCAACGGCUUGUUCUGUUGGGAAAUGUGGUGUUUGGUAUACUCCUUACGGUGCAUNGGAGUCGUUCUAAGUCCACGUGAUUGNNGCUUAAAAGCCCAGAGAGGGUGUAAGGCCCGUGAGAACGAUACAGUGUAUUCAUUGGAGUGUUCCUAGAGUCGGAUUGUUUGGGAAUGCAGUCCAAAGAGGGUGGUAAGCUCCAUCCAAGGCUAAAUACCACAUGANUCCGAUAUCGAACAAGUACAAGAGGGAAAGUUGAAAAGAACUUUGAAAAUAGAGUUCAAUAAAGCGUGAAACCCCUCAGAGGUAAACAGGCCNAGCCGAAGGAGGGGCGUANNUUUGNCUUCCGCUUUACUCUUGCUGAUGUUGAGCGCUUNNGNCNNCCUGCCCACGUUGGUGUGUAAUGAGCUGGUGGUGCAUUCUGNAUUUGUACAACAUGUACCAAUGGCCCGAUUGCCUACCUCAUCUCGCGAAAAUUUAAUCCUUUNCUUUCACUUCNCNUNNNNGUUUCNUACUACCCCNUGACUCNCACUGAUGCUUGNCUCCUUGGUCCAUGUGUCNUAACUGGUCGUGCUGNNUGCUUACGUUAUCACCACACAUUCAUUCCUGCAGUAUAGGUUGUGUCUAUACCCGACCCGCGACGACGAUCAGUGGCUAGAUUGGCCUUAUCAUACGGGGAAAGUUAAAUAGUUCUUUGAACUAUAAUUUAUAGACUCUGUCUAUAGCGCCGUUCGAACACUGAGAAAUGCGAUGCAGGACAAUGUGGUAUACAUGUCGGUGCUGGUUGCUGGUGCUCGGUAUUGACUCAUAAGAGAUGGUGCCGGGUUGUCGGUGGUCGGUAUUGGCCUCUGUAUGCUACAAGAAUGAAUCCGUGGUGAUUAUGUAAGCAAUCUGCCUGACCCGUCUUGAAACACGGACCAAGGAGUUUAGCAUGUGCGCAAGUCAUGGGGUCGUACGAAACCUAAAGGCGAAGUGAAAGUAAAGGCUUACAUUUUCGUGAGCUAAGGUAGGAUCUCGGUUUCUAUGUACAUUUUAGUACAAGUACUGAGCGCACUACCAGCUCGUCCAAUGCUUUAUUAAGCAGGGCGACGCAAGAGCGCACACGCUGAGACCCGAAAGAUGGUGAACUAUGCUUGUGUAGGCUGAAGCCAGAGGAAACUCUGGUGGAGGGCCGUAGCGGUUCUGACGUGCAAAUCGAUCGUCAAACAUGAGUAUAGGGGCGAAAGACUAAUCGAACCAUCUAGUAGCUGGUUCCCUCCGAAGUUUCCCUCAGGAUAGCUGGUGCUCGAGAAACAAACAGUUUUAUCCGGUAAAGCGAAUGAUUAGAAGUAUUGGGGAAAAACAUUCCUCAACUUAUUCUCAAACUUUAAAUGGGUGAGAAGCUGAACUCUCUUAAAUUGGAGUUGGGCAUAGAAUGUGAGUGCCUAGUGGGCCAUUUUUGGUAAGCAGAACUGGCGCUGUGGGAUGAACCAAACGUCUGGUUAAGGAGCCUAACACGACGCUCAUAAGAUACCACAAAAGGUGUUGGUUGAUAUAGACAGCAGGACGGUGGCCAUGGAAGUUGGAAUCCGCUAAGGAGUGUGUAACAACUCACCUGCCGAAUCAACUAGCCCUGAAAAUGGAUGGCGCUGGAGCGUUGGUCCUAUACCAGACCGAUACCGCAAGUCGCAUAAAUUGGAAGCGGUAUCGAGUAGGAGGGCGCUGUGGUGAGCAUUGAAGCUUCGGUCGUGAGACUGGGUGGAGCCGCCACGGGUGCAGAUCUUGGUGGUAGUAGCAAAUAUUCAAGUGAGAACCUUGAA